RNAcentral lists this ribosomal RNA (1614 nucleotides) under Triticum aestivum (bread wheat). RNAcentral describes it as "partial small subunit ribosomal RNA". The record is from RNAcentral. Lineage: Eukaryota; Viridiplantae; Streptophyta; Magnoliopsida; Poales; Poaceae.
AUGAGUGACAGACAGAAGGGUUUGACGAAUGUUGUGAAGAAAGUUUUCCCUGAUUCAGAACAUAGGAACUGUGUUAGGCACAUUUACCAAAAUUUCCACAAAGUACACCAGGGUGAACAACUGAAGAAUGACCUCUGGGCCAUAGCAAGAUCCACUAAUGAAGCUGCCUACACCAGAAACAUGGAUAAGAUGAGAGAUCACAGCUUUGCAGCAUUCAAUUGGGUUGAGAACUUGUCCCCAAGAACUUGGAUCAAAGCUUUCUUUGACCCUUUCUGCAAGUGUGAUAUAUUGCUGAAUAACAUGUGUGAGGUGUUUAACAGCUACAUUUUGGAUGGUAGAGAGUUGCCAAUUAAAUCAAUGCUGGAUUACAUCUUCUGGAAGAUUUCAAAUAGGAUGGUUGGUAAGCAAAGGGAGGCAGAAAAGUGGACAGGCAGGCUUUGCCCCAAGAUACAGAAGAAGCUGGACAAGUAUGUUGAGUGGGCAAAAAAUUGCAGGGUGAGGGAGUAUGGAAGAGGUGUAUUCCAGGUUAUCUCAUUAAACAACACUUACAUUGUUGAUCUGAACAUGUUGAGCUGUAACUGCAAAAGGUGGGAAUUGUCUGGUAUACCUUGUCAUCAUGCAAUUGCUUGUUUUAGGCAUGAGAGAAUUGAGCCUGAGAGCAUGGUCCAUUCAUGCUACACUGUUGAGGAGUACAAGAAGUGUUAUGGAUUCAAUAUGAGGCCAAUGAGGGAUCCAGAGGAAUGGGAAAAGAUGCAUGGCAAUCCUGUUUUUCCACCCAUAUACACCAAAGUAAUGGGCAUGCCCAAGAAAAGUAGGAAAAAAGAUCCAGAGGAGAAGAAGGAUAAGAAAGGAGUUAGGAAGUUGACCAAGCAUGGUGUUAGCAUGCAUUGCUCUGUUUGUGGGGGCGCUGAUCAUAACAAGAAAGGGCAUUACAAACACGUGAAUCAACCACCUACCGAGGAAGCACCUGGGGAAUCAGAAGAAGAAUAUGAUGAUCCAAGCAUAAUUGCUAACAUUAUGCCACACAGAGUUUACCCACAGUUUGAUCCAACACAAACUCCAGAUUCUAUGGUUUACAAGAUGCUGGAAAGGGAAAAAUUUACAUACCCUGCACCUAUGGACUUUGGUCCCCUGCCUGAGUCUAGCUUUAUUGCUAAUGCUAGGGACACAAUCCCUAUAGGCAGGGUGACAACAGCCAUGUCCAGGGGCAGGGUGAGAGAAGGAACAAGUGGAAGCAAUGCAACAAGAGGAGGAAGAAGUGCAAGAAAUGCAACAAGGGGUGGUAGAAGUGGUACCAAUGCAAGAAGGGGAGGAAGAAGUGCAAGCAAUGCAACAAGGGGAGGCAGAAUAGUAAGCAAUGCAACAAGGGGAGGAACUGCUUCAAGUGCAACUAGAGGUGGCAAUUACCCAAGUGGAAGUAAUCCUCCCAGAGGAGCAAGGGCUGCUGCUCCAGGAUUCUACAACUUGCUUUUUGGAAAUGAUGGACAAAGCAGCCAGCAACCACCACUUUUUAUGCAGGGAGAAGAAGAGGUACUUGUGAGCCAAAAUGCACCCCAAGAUGGCCUGUUUGGAGAUGGCUGGCCUCAGGACAUGCAUGAUUUCCUAUCUCUGUAG